GACGAACGCUGGCGGCGUGCUUAACACAUGCAAGUCGAACGGCAAGGCCCUGCUUUUGUGGGGUGCUCGAGUGGCGAACGGGUGAGUAACACGUGAGUAACCUGCCCUUGACUUUGGGAUAACUUCAGGAAACUGGGGCUAAUACCGGAUAGGAGCUCCUGCUGCAUGGUGGGGGUUGGAAAGUUUCGGCGGUUGGGGAUGGACUCGCGGCUUAUCAGCUUGUUGGUGGGGUAGUGGCUUACCAAGGCUUUGACGGGUAGCCGGCCUGAGAGGGUGACCGGCCACAUUGGGACUGAGAUAUGGCCCAGACUCCUACGGGAGGCAGCAGUGGGGAAUAUUGCACAAUGGGCGGAAGCCUGAUGCAGCAACGCCGCGGGCGGGAUGACGGCCUUCGGGUUGUAAACCGCUUUCGCCUGUGACGAAGCGUGAGUGACGGUAAUGGGUAAAGAAGCACCGGCUAACUACGUG
Molecule: ribosomal RNA, 468 nt
Filed under: uncultured bacterium
Lineage: Bacteria
Description: partial 16S ribosomal RNA
Rfam family: Bacterial small subunit ribosomal RNA
Source: RNAcentral